GUGCUUGUUUCAGCAGCACAUAUACUGAAAUUGGAACGAUACAGAGAAGAUUAGCAUGGCCUCUGCGCAGGGGAUAACAUGCAAAUUCGUGAAGCGUCCCAUAUUAAA
RNAcentral lists this small nuclear RNA (108 nucleotides) under Erinaceus europaeus (western European hedgehog). The record is from RNAcentral. Lineage: Eukaryota; Metazoa; Chordata; Mammalia; Eulipotyphla; Erinaceidae.